RNAcentral lists this small RNA (180 nucleotides) under Staphylococcus aureus. Its description in RNAcentral is "HMPRFS0000_0768". Lineage: Bacteria; Bacillati; Bacillota; Bacilli; Caryophanales; Staphylococcaceae. The record is from RNAcentral.
UGUACCUUAGCAAGCGCAUCUUCAUUUGUUGCUAAUAUUAAUAAACCAAUUAAACAAACGGUUAAUAUUACAGCAACAAAGCCUAAAAAUAAAUUUUUUACUGUCAUCCCCUUACCCACAUUUCCUUACUCAUUUUUUAUCAUCUUAACACAUUAACGUUAAUGAAUUAGGUAUGUGGAU